RNAcentral lists this ribosomal RNA (410 nucleotides) under uncultured bacterium. RNAcentral describes it as "bacterial SSU rRNA". It matches the Rfam family "Bacterial small subunit ribosomal RNA", at positions 29 to 429 of the family's 1533-position model. The record is from RNAcentral.
AACGAACGCUGGCGGCGCGCCUAAUACAUGCAAGUCGAGCGAGAAGACGUAGCAAUACGUUUGUAAAGCGGCGAACGGGUGAGGAAUACAUGGGUAACCUACCCUCGAGUGGGGAAUAACUAGCCGAAAGGUUAGCUAAUACCGCGUACGCUCCUUGGACUUCGGUUCAGGGAGGAAAGCGAUACCGUGGGUAUCGCGCUCUUGGAUGGGCUCAUGUCCUAUCAGCCUGUUGGUGAGGUAACGGCUCACCAAGGCUUCGACGGGUAGCUGGUCUGAGAGGACGAUCAGCCACACUGGCACUGCGACACGGGCCAGACUCCUACGGGAGGCAGCAGUAAGGAAUAUUGCGCAAUGGGCGAAAGCCUGACGCAGCGACGCCGCGUGGGGGAUGAAGGUCUUCGGAUUGUAAA